GAAUUCGAAGUAAUUUAUUACAAUCAGUUUCGACCUGAUAUUAGGUAAAUUUAUUACCCUUAUUCU
Molecule: transfer RNA, 66 nt
Filed under: Biomeigenia flava
Lineage: Eukaryota; Metazoa; Arthropoda; Insecta; Diptera; Tachinidae
Description: tRNA-Arg
Source: RNAcentral